This 904-nucleotide ribosomal RNA is filed under the name Cladosporium macrocarpum. RNAcentral's name for it is "LSU rRNA". It matches the Rfam family "Eukaryotic large subunit ribosomal RNA", at positions 34 to 965 of the family's 3401-position model. Lineage: Eukaryota; Fungi; Ascomycota; Dothideomycetes; Cladosporiales; Cladosporiaceae. The record is from RNAcentral.
UUAAGCAUAUCAAUAAGCGGAGGAAAAGAACCAACAGGGAUUGCUCUAGUAACGGCGAGUGAAGCAGCAAUAGCUCAAAUUUGAAAUCUGGCGUCUUCGACGUCCGAGUUGUAAUUUGUAGAGGAUGCUUCUGAGUGGCCACCGACCUAAGUUCCUUGGAACAGGACGUCAUAGAGGGUGAGAAUCCCGUAUGCGGUCGGAAAGGCGCUCUAUACGUAGCUCCUUCGACGAGUCGAGUUGUUUGGGAAUGCAGCUCUAAAUGGGAGGUAAAUUUCUUCUAAAGCUAAAUAUUGGCCAGAGACCGAUAGCGCACAAGUAGAGUGAUCGAAAGAUGAAAAGCACUUUGGAAAGAGAGUUAAAAAGCACGUGAAAUUGUUAAAAGGGAAGGGAUUGCAACCAGACUUGCUCGCGGUGUUCCGCCGGUCUUCUGACCGGUCUACUCGCCGCGUUGCAGGCCAGCAUCGUCUGGUGCCGCUGGAUAAGACUUGAGGAAUGUAGCUCCCUCGGGAGUGUUAUAGCCUCUUGUGAUGCAGCGAGCGCCGGGCGAGGUCCGCGCUUCGGCUAGGAUGCUGGCGUAAUGGUCGUAAUCCGCCCGUCUUGAAACACGGACCAAGGAGUCUAACAUCUAUGCGAGUGUUCGGGUGUCAAACCCCUACGCGUAAUGAAAGUGAACGGAGGUGAGAACCGCAAGGUGCAUCAUCGACCGAUCCUGAUGUCUUCGGAUGGAUUUGAGUAAGAGCAUAGCUGUUGGGACCCGAAAGAUGGUGAACUAUGCCUGAAUAGGGUGAAGCCAGAGGAAACUCUGGUGGAGGCUCGCAGCGGUUCUGACGUGCAAAUCGAUCGUCAAAUUUGGGUAUAGGGGCGAAAGACUAAUCGAACCAUCUAGUAGCUGGUUCCUGCCGAA